CCACCCGUACCCUAGUUUCCUCUCCUUCUUCAUUUUCUCCGCCUCUUCAUUUUCACAUUGAUAAUGUUCAUAACUCAUUUCGGCUUCUCAACCUUUGUGGUCCCAUUUUCCCUCAAUCAUAUCCUUUUCCUGCUUUGUUUGUUCAUCUUCAAAGACAGUGUAAGGCUCUUGAGGUUUGAUCGCAAUCAAGACUUGGAAACAAAUUUGUCAAGAAAAGAAACAAGGAUGCCCCUUCGUGGAGAAGCUGAUAGAGUCAUACCUAAUCCGCUGCAUGAUGGCCUCCGUCCGUGGGUGUGGCGACAGCGGUGUUUUCUUUGCGACAAUGGUGUUUUAGCGUCUUCACGGCGAGUUUCCGGUGGCUCAGGCGUGGUGUUUUCACGAUGCAAGGAUCUCGUUUUCCAGCGUCUUAGCAGCGGUAGAGACUUGGAUGGAAUUCAUGAUUGAUUUAGGGUUUGAAUUCGGGUUCUGUUUUUAGGGAUUUAAAUGGGGUCCAAUGUCUCACGAUUUUGGGUUUGGCCAUGGAGAAGAAGAAAUUCCAAGUAUGGAGAGCUAUUUUAGUGUGAUUGAUUGCUUGUAUGUGGUAUGAUUUGGGAUUUAGAUGUCACUUAUUGGUGAAACCAACGAUGUAGAAAAUAAUGUGUUCGAUUUAGGAGCAUUUGUCGGUGACCUAGCUUUGGAAGAGGAUCCGACGAUGAUAUAUCGUUGGAAGGACUAGAGCAUCGAUGAAAAUUUUAAUUGCUACUCAAAUUUAUAUUCCUUGUGGAUUAUAUUAAAGAAAGUGAUAAUCUAGUCUCUCUUCAUGAUCAAUUUCGUUAUUGUGAUAGGUCACAGAUGGAAACUCUUCUAAGUGGAUUUCAGGAACUUGGAGAGUUGGUGGUCUUCUUGUUGUUUCUCGUGCAUUUGGCAAUAGACUCCUGAAGCAGUAUGUUGUUGUUGAUCCAGAAAUACAGGUGAGUUUAGAAUAUAUCUCAUAUUGUUAGAUCCAUAAAUAUAUGUGUAUAGAGUGCAUGAUUUACUAUAUAAAACAUCCAUUCAGUAAAUUAGAGACCAAACUCUGCUUCAUAUGUACUAUAGCAAAUCAUAAAAUCGUUUAUAUCUUACUAGACUUGACUGUUUCAAGGCCUGUGAAACUAGAUUGAAGGAAUCUGUAAAUUACCAAGUCAUUUCUCCUUAUGAUCUGGCAAAGUCUGUUAUAUAUGAAGUUGGCUGGUCAAAUUUUAUGGUAUUAUCUUUAUCUUCAUGAUUGAUUUAUGACUAUGUACUCUGUAAUUCUCUCUCCCCUCAACCUUUAUGAAGAAGAGGAUAUUUUUUUGUCCCUAUUUACGAUAGUGUUAAUCUUGUUCAAUUUAUAUCUAUUGUUGUUGUUGCUAAGUGUUUUUAAUUUUAUAUAUUUUUUAUAGUCUAAAGGAAAGAAUUUUGACAAGCCUCUGGAUCUAGCACUUUUAUUCUUGGUAGAUAGGUAAUAUCUUUCAAGCUUCUAUAUAGAUAAAGAGUUCAUAUAUUUCAUUUUGUUAGAUUUCUUAGCUUUUAGAUUCUUAAGGUCUAUGUCUCAGAAGCUUCAAUUCAAAGUAUGGUAGACUGAUUGACUGGGCCAGGGUGCUGCUACUAGAACAGGAGAGGUUGUUGGAAGGAUGUCAGGUGAUACUGUUCUUGUUCAAGAUGCCAUGCGUGAAAAUGUAGGACAGUUCUUACAGUUAUUGGCAACUUCCAUUGGAGGUUUUGUAAUAGCAUUCAUCAGGGGAUGGCUUCUAACUAUUUCCAUGUUAUCUUGUAUUCCACUUAUUGUUUUGGGUGGCGCCAUGGUAAGCCUUGUUAUUGCAAAAGAAUCGUCCAGGGGACAAGAAGCUUAUUCCCUAGCUGCAAUUGUAGUAGAGCAGACAAUAGGUUCUAUCCAAACUGUAUGCAUACUGAACAAAAUAACUCCUGAUUUUUCCUUUUGAUAUGGCAGAAGAUAUGAAUGACUUCCACUUAUCCAAUGCGGGUUGCAUCAUUCACUGGGGAGAAGCAAGCAAUAGAUAAAUAUAGUCAGUCCUUAAUCAAAGUUUACAAGGCUGAAGUGCGAGAGGCACUAGCUUAAAAACAAACUGCCACCCCAAGUUUGUUAUAGAAGAAUAAAGAAAGAAGAUUAUGAAUUUUGCAAAGACAAGGGAUAAAGCAAGGAAUUUCUUCUAAAAACCAUGCUUAACAUACCUUAAUUGAGGUUUACGAAUUUCUGAAAUAGCUUAUAUAAGUAGCAGCAAUUUAUUUUGCAGAAUAACAUUCUAACUUUAUUUUAGCUUAUAAAUGUUGUUAGUGUACUAUAAAGAUCAAUCUUCAAUUUCAACAAGGUUAGUAUUAUUGUCUAUGAGAUGAAAUACAAUGGAUAGAUACAUAGUAUGCCAAAUUUACUAAUCUAAAAGCUACUAAAGAUGACAACUAACAAAACUGGGCAAAUAGCACAUGCUGAACAUUUUCUAGACCAUACAAAGAAGGUAGUAACAUUAGAAACUUUCUUUUGAAAUUUGGGAAGGGUUAUGAGUAAAAUAAGUAGAUGAGACAGCUACAUGUUAUCUUCCUCCCAUUGAAUAAGGAAGUUUGUGUCAUUGAGAUACUGUCUUAAAAGGUAUAUUUUAAAACUUCAUAAAACCAACCUAAUAAGAUUAUAUUUAGAUUUUAUAUAGGUUUAAUCAUUUAGAUUGUCUCUAUUUAUGAUGGAUUUUCUCAAUUAGGUUCCAGUAUUUUAAAAUGUCUCAAUUUA
This is a long non-coding RNA of Vigna radiata var. radiata (mung bean), 2737 nucleotides long. RefSeq lists it as uncharacterized. Lineage: Eukaryota; Viridiplantae; Streptophyta; Magnoliopsida; Fabales; Fabaceae. The record is from RefSeq and is a predicted model, not a curated record. The transcript is spliced from 6 exons.